UACGUAGGGUGCGGGCGUUAAUCGGAAUUACUGGGCGUAAAGCGUGCGCAGGCGGUGAUGUAAGACAGUUGUGAAAUCCCCGGGCUCAACCUGGGAACUGCAUUUGUGACUGCAUCGCUGGAGUGCGGCAGAGGGGGAUGGAAUUCCGCGUGUAGCAGUGAAAUGCGUAGAUAUGCGGAGGAACACCGAUGGCGAAGGCAAUCCCCUGGGCCUGCACUGACGCUCAUGCACGAAAGCGUGGGGAGCAAACAGG
Molecule: ribosomal RNA, 253 nt
Filed under: uncultured bacterium
Lineage: Bacteria
Description: partial 16S ribosomal RNA
Rfam family: Bacterial small subunit ribosomal RNA
Source: RNAcentral